This is a long non-coding RNA of Gallus gallus (chicken), 370 nucleotides long. The record is from Ensembl. NCBI's taxonomy places the organism in Eukaryota, Metazoa, Chordata, Aves, Galliformes, Phasianidae.
CGGAGAGUCUGUGCCGGGGCUGCGUGCUGCGGGGGGCCGGCAGCUGCCACGGGGCUCUUUUACCUCGUGAGGUGGCUGCUCGCAGUCGGUACCGGCCGCAAGGCGAUCCGUCCGAGCCGAGCUCUCAGAAUCCGCUGCUAUAAGUGAGGGUCUUGUUCGCAGCCCGGCACGGGAGGGAGGAAUAUUAUUGAUGGUGAGCAAAAACUGCCCAGAUGUCCGACGCCUGUUUGGCCAUUUGGAAGCUCUCCGCGUUCAUCCCCCAGACCUGCCCGCCGCUCCCGGGAGCACGGCUGGCAGUGUGACGGAGAGGAGGGAAAGCCCAUGUGUGGUCCUCGGGCUCUGGCAAGAAACAGCAGAGCAGAACACCAGG